Molecule: ribosomal RNA, 468 nt
Filed under: uncultured bacterium
Lineage: Bacteria
Description: partial 16S ribosomal RNA
Rfam family: Bacterial small subunit ribosomal RNA
Source: RNAcentral
GACGAACGCUGGCGGCGUGCUUAACACAUGCAAGUCGAACGGAAAGGCCCUGCUUUUGUGGGGUUCUCGAUUGGCGAACGGGUGAGUAACACGUGAGUAACCUGCCCUUGACUUUGGGAUAACUUCAGGAAACUGGGGCUAAUACCGGAUAGGAGCUCCUGCUGCAUGGUGGGGGUUGGAAAGUUUCGGCGGUUGGGGAUGGACUCGCGGCUUAUCAGCUUGUUGGUGGGGUAGUGGCUUACCAAGGCUUUGACGGGUAGCCGGCCUGAGAGGGUGACCGGCCACAUUGGGACUGAGAUACGGACCAGACUCCUACGGGAGGCAGUAGUGGGGAAUAUUGCACAAUGGGCGGAAGCCUGAUGCAGCAACGCCGCGUGCGGGAUGACGGCCUUCGGGUUGUAAACAGCUUUCGCCUGUGACGAAGCGUGAGUGACGGUAAUGGGUAAAGAAGCACCGGCUAACUACGUG